AGGUCCAGCCUGCCCAGUGACAAAGUUCAACGGCCACGGUACCCUAACCGUGCGAAGGUAGCAUAAUCACUUGUUCUUUAAAUAGGGACUAGUAUCAACGGCAUCACGAGGGUUGCACUGUCUCCUUCCUCUAAUCAGUGAAACUGAUCUCCCCGUGAAGAAGCGGGGAUACAACUAUUAGACGAGAAGACCCCAUGGAGCUUUAAACCAAUAGCAACUCAAUUACAUAUUCCCUUUUACUCCAAGAGCCAUGCAUGUAGGUUUUAGGUUGGGGUGACCGCGGAGUACAAAUAAACCUCCACGACGAAAAGAACUAAAUCUUUAUCCAAGAGCUACAGCUCUCAGAAUUAGCACACUAACGAAUUAUGAUCCGAUGAUCGAUCAACGAACCAAGUUACCCUGGGGAUAACAGCGCAAUCUACUUCAAGAGCCCAUAUCGACAAGUAGGCUUACGACCUCCAUGUUGGAUCAGGGUACCCAAGUGGUGCAGCCGCUACUAAUGGUUCGUUUGUUCAACGAUUAAAACCCU
This 529-nucleotide ribosomal RNA is filed under the name Leptomantis gauni. Its description in RNAcentral is "partial 16S ribosomal RNA". It matches the Rfam family "Bacterial large subunit ribosomal RNA", at positions 1850 to 2597 of the family's 2925-position model. Lineage: Eukaryota; Metazoa; Chordata; Amphibia; Anura; Rhacophoridae. The record is from RNAcentral.